CGUUGCAACUUUGAAAAGUCACUAAAUGAAUGAUUGCUAUUUUUUUAAAAAAAAGAAAGAAUUACUUGAGAGUAUCCUUGUAAAAUCCCAGUCAUCUGCAGAGAGAGCCGUGUGGAUCAGCUUCCCAAACAUGAAGCAAUGGAAGACUUCUAUUUCAGUGAAUGCUAUAAACAUGAGCCUCUUGCUCUCGCUCUACCAUGAUGAAUAUAGUACAAGCAGUCCUUGAAUUACAACUAUAAUAUAUACACCCAUCUCCUCCCACAUAUGACUG
This is a long non-coding RNA of Thamnophis sirtalis, 271 nucleotides long. RefSeq lists it as uncharacterized. NCBI's taxonomy places the organism in Eukaryota, Metazoa, Chordata, Lepidosauria, Squamata, Natricidae. The record is from RefSeq and is a predicted model, not a curated record.